CCUGACUGCUAUCGGAUUGAUACUAAGCCAUGCGAGUCAUUGCAGCAAUGCAAGGCAGACGGCUCAGUAACGCGUAGUCAACCUAACCUAUGGACGGAAAUAACCUCGGGAAACUGAGAAUAAUGUCCGAUAGAACACUAUAUCUGGAAUGGUUUGUGUUCCAAAUGAUUUAUCGCCGUAGGAUGGGACUGCGGCCUAUCAGUUUGUUGGUGAGGUAAUGGCCCACCAAGACUAUUACAGGUACGGGCUCUGAGAGGAGUAGCCCGGAGAUGGGUACUGAGACACGGACCCAGGCCCUAUGGGGCGCAGCAGGCGAGAAAACUUUGCAAUGUGCGAAAGCACGACAAGGUUAAUCCGAGUGAUUUCUGCUAAAGGAACCUUUUGUUAGUCCUAGAAACACUAACGAAUAAGGGGUGGGCAAGUUCUGGUGUCAGCCGCCGCGGUAAAACCAGCACCUCAAGUGGUCAGGAUGAUUAUUGGGCCUAAAGCAUCCGUAGCCGGCUCUGUAAGUUUUCGGUUAAAUCUGUACGCUCAACGUACAGGCUGCCGGGAAUACUGCAGAGCUAGGGAGUGGGAGAGGUAGACGGUACUCGGGAGGAAGUGGUAAAAUGCUUUGAUCUCUCGAUGACCACCUGUGGCGAAGGCGGUCUACCAGAACACGUCCGACGGUGGGGGAUGAAAGCUGGGGGAGCAAACCGGAUUAGAUACCCGGGUAGUCCCAGCUGUAAACUAUGCAAACUCAGUGAUGCAUUGGCUUGUGGCCAAUGCAGUAUUGCAGGGAAGCCGUUAAGUUUGCCGCCUGGGAAGUACGUACGCAAGUAUGAAACUUAAAGGAAUUGGCGGGGGAGCACCACAAGGGGUGAAGCCUGCGGUUC
RNAcentral lists this ribosomal RNA (875 nucleotides) under uncultured crenarchaeote. RNAcentral describes it as "bacterial SSU rRNA". It matches the Rfam family "Archaeal small subunit ribosomal RNA", at positions 21 to 903 of the family's 1478-position model. Lineage: Archaea; Thermoproteati; Thermoproteota. The record is from RNAcentral.